UACGUAGGGUGCAAGCGUUGCCCGGAUUUAUUGGGCGUAAAGAGCUUGUAGGCGGUUUGUCGCGUCUGCUGUGAAAAUCCGGGGCUCAACCCCGGACUUGCAGUGGGUACGGGCAGACUAGAGUGUGGUAGGGGAGACUGGAAUUCCUGGUGUAGCGGUGAAAUGCGCAGAUAUCAGGAGGAACACCGAUGGCGAAGGCAGGUCUCUGGGCCACUACUGACGCUGAGAAGCGAAAGCAUGGGGAGCGAACAGG
This 253-nucleotide ribosomal RNA is filed under the name uncultured bacterium. Its description in RNAcentral is "partial 16S ribosomal RNA". It matches the Rfam family "Bacterial small subunit ribosomal RNA", at positions 524 to 776 of the family's 1533-position model. The record is from RNAcentral.